Molecule: long non-coding RNA, 3914 nt
Organism: Passer domesticus (house sparrow)
Lineage: Eukaryota; Metazoa; Chordata; Aves; Passeriformes; Passeridae
Exons: 7
Source: RefSeq, a predicted model, not a curated record
GGAGGUGCUCUCCUCUCUCCCGGCUGCCCUGCCUGCCUGCCCCCUGCCUGCCUCCGGCCCUGCCUCCUUGCCUGCCUGCCUGCCUUCCUCCAGCCCUGCCUGCCUGCCUCCGGGCCGUGCGGCUCUCGGCCCGGGCAGCAGCAGUAGUUUAUACUCCAGCCAGAAAAGCCAACAUCAGGCGUUAAUUGUUGUCUAUAACAAAUCCCCUCCCCUCUCCUCCUUCAGUCGGCGAUGCGGGGUGCGGGCGGGAGGUGCUCUCCUCUCCCCACACGGUGCUGCUGCUAAAUGCAGAAGGAGAGGAGGAGAAGCCAUCGCGGGCGAGCAAAGGAGCUUUUGUGUCCACGAGUCCCUUGCUGGGCAAAGGGCUCAAAGACGCCUGAGCAAUCCAGCCUCAGAGCUCCUCAGUUCAGUGGUGCCUGAGCAAGCUCAGCACUUCCCAGGUGCUGGACUCCACAAUCCUGCAUAAAGCAUAAGGAAGAUUUUCAAAGGAAAGUGGGGUCUCCAGAAUAUACUCUACUGAAGAAAUUGAGCAAAUGACAAAGCCAAUAUUAAUCAAAGUAUUGGUGAUCAGAAUCAGUCUCUCUGCUGGAGCUCAGUAUUUGCUCUAGGUGUUCUGGUGCUCAUUACUGAAGCCAAAUUUUAAAUUAGCAUGGAUUUUUACAGUUACCAAAUUAGGCUCCAUCAUGAGCUUUCAUUAAAAAUACAAGAGCUGGGUACUUGGAGCAGAUUAGCACUCUGCUUUCCUGGGAUAUAACAGUGUUUACAUCCACUGGGUUCCUAUAGUGGGUGUUGAUAGGAGGCAGCAAGGUUUGGUAUGUGUUUCUGUAGAAUGUAAAGGACUUAGAACACCAAUAUGGUGAAUUAAAAAAAAAAAAAAAAAAACCAAAACAGCAAAAUAAUUACAUUUAUUUGCCUUAACCUAAUCUUUUUAACCAUCCUUUGCAGAGAGAAUGUAAAUAAAGAAAAGUAUUCAGUUGUUUAUGACAAAUAACAAGAAUACAUUGUCUAAAAGCUAAUUUUUUCAAGUCUGAUGUUAGGUUUGUUAUUUUUCUUUUUUCUUUCUGACCUCAAUGAACCUGGUACAUCUGUCACUGUUGCACAAGCUAGAUCUGUGCAUGCAACUGCUAGGCAUGAGCAGAGCUUCAUAUGAGAGACAGUGAUACUGGGAGUCCUGGUCUGAUCCAUCGUGGGGACCAGGGAAAUUAAUCCAGGUGGAUGGUGCUUUUAAGCAGUGCUUCACUCACAAAAUUCUAUAAUCAGUAGCUCAUGGUGAAUGAAAUCUGUAGCUAUUUCUGAGAGUAGCUUAAAUGUCUGUUACUUGCAGUGUGAUUUGCACCUUGGCAAUGUAAUGUAAUAGACUUUAUAUCUGAUGAGACUUUUGUAUCUGAGGAGACUUUUAUACUUCAAAUACGUAUCAGAAAUUGUAUUGUUUUCUUCAUGAAAGCAUAUUGUGGAGCUGCACUCAAGGACAGCAGAGAGUGAUAUAAGCAACACUUUGGCACAACUUUGGCAAUCCUCAGCCUAGUGACUGCUGUCUGUUCUAGCACAGAGGGAUGGCACAAAGGAAACUAGAAGAGACUCACCAGUUUGCCAGCCUGACUGAAGCCAAGCUCUGCACCUGCUUGUUAGAGAAAGACCUGUAGACUGUAGAGCUGCCUGUGCUGAGAAUAAAUGGGAAAAGGAGGGGGGGAAACGCAACUUGCUGUCCUGCUAGAAGUCUCCUCAUUUACAAGAAGAGGUGUAAGCAUAUUAUGUGCGUUGCUGCAGAUCCCAUUUCAGGGGAACACAUCAGCACAGAUUUUGUGCACUAUACAGGUGUCAGCACAGAUUUAUUCACAUCGACUCUAAUAAAUGCACCUUUGAUGAGCAGCAGUCAGUUCUCCCCAACCCACUUCUUUGGUACAAUACAAAAGGCUACUCCACUGCACUCCCAUGCUCAGCAGAAUGCUAAUUCUUGGGUACUGAAGGAGUCCCCACACCUGAGCUGGUAGAGAAAUCACCCUCAGUCGAAGAGCUCAGUCUAGGUGUACAGGACCCUUCCUUUAAGGAUUAAUUUUGCUGGAAAAUGCAAAAGGUUUACAUUUCUGAUAAGUAAUUAUACUUGCAUUGUUGCCAGAGCUGAAGCUUUGAUGGUGAGGUGGGACAACUGUGGGCAAAGAGAAUCACAGACAAUCUCUGUGAAGCAGAUCCUCUUGGAUAAAUCAACCCAAGCCAAACAAUGAGGAUAAACUGCCAUUCAACUAAGUGUGCUAAAAGAGCUCAAAUAUGAAAUUGCUGAGCUACCAAAGCAGAGCUUAAACCAACCACCAUCUCAAGGAGCAAAAGAAGAAAGUCAGGAUUGAAGCAAGCUGACAUGUCUGGCUGAAACGGCGUGGUCCUGUUCAUGGAGUCUGGACUGACACAACCAUUGAAGGAAGCCCAAGAAGAAAGCAUGUGAUAAAUUUAUACCCACAAAAUCAUUAUCAAAUAACAGCAGCGCUGCUGUGUUCUCCAGUUUGGAAGGAAACCAUAUAACCACAGAUUUGAUUGAGCUUCUGCUGGGAAGUCAGUGUAAUCAUCACCUUCAAAACAGCAAAACCUCAGUUUGCCAUUUGUGAAGUGUCUCCUGUGUAAUUUUCACGAUUUCCUAGAAGAUGUGAUUAACCCAGAUGCCAGUGCUGCUCCAUUCCUGCAUGCUCACCAAUCAGUGCAGGAUUAAUAAGAUGCCAGUAAGCUUAGCAGAAUGGAAAUUUGAAGUAAGAGAGAGCACACCUCAGGCUGUGUGGAAUGGCACUGAUGUUAGGAGCCAUGAAGAUGGAAACCUAAAUCACUGUCUUCCUGGGACCUCCUGAGAGCUCUCACUGCUUGGUGAGACAAAGAAGACUGCAAGAUAAAGAGUACUCCAAGGUAUAUUACAGACCACAGAGGAUCUAAGAAAUUACAGCAGUGGCCAACUGGAUUGGUGUACCUCAAGAUGACUUCAGACACAGAGCCCUGAACCAGAGCACGGACCUUUGUUGACCACACCAGCAAAGGAUCUGGUACUGUUCCAUGUUUCUGUGAUGAGCUAAACAUUUCGGAGGACAGGACCUUGUUACUGCCUUUCCCACCAAACACAGCAAGAAUUUCAGAAACUACAGAGAAGCCGAAGUAAUUAAUGAAAAGUACUGGUGUCAUGUGGACAAGAACAGGGCACACAUUCAGCCCUUUCUUCAGCCCUUCCGACUAAUGGGAAAUAUCCUUCUGCGUGGACCAUAUGACUGGGUCCAGAGGCUGGAUUUAAUAUAUUUGCAGCCCAAUCAUUUUCCCAAGUGAACUGUCAAUUACCAGUGUGAGACAGAAAAGAUGCUGAUUACCUGGGCCAAACUCUGCUCUUGUUUGUGUCAGAACAAUAUCCCUGAUUGCGCUUGCUUCCGUGCGACUGUGGGUUGAGUUUGGCUCUGUCUCCUCAGUUCCCUGGGUUGUCUUUGAACCACAGGAACAGCACUUUGAGACAGCUACUUGGGCAAUCGCUAAUGGCAGGAAAAUCCACAGUUCUUCAGACAUUAAGGCAUUGUAAAUACUGAAAGAAAAUAAAUCUGUGUUGUGUUUUUUUGGCAUACAAUGCCUAAAGCCUUAUCUCUCAUUCUGUCAGGAACCAAGAACUAUGUAUACAGAUGGUGCAAUUUAUUAUGUUCUGUACUGUGACCAAGUGCUGAAAUACCUUCAGGAAAUCACCAGAAAGCCUGAAAAGCUUUGCUGUCUCUUGUGACUGCAGCUCACUAAAACUGUAAUUGAAUGAGCACAAUAUAUUAAGCCCUGCGUAUUACACAGUAAGCUUACAGAAAAGGACGCCAUCUUUUUCAGCAUCAUUACAGAAAAUAUCUUUGCUGUACAAUUACUGCCUAUACCCAAGAUCAUAAUGUCUCUGCCUCUCUAAAUUCUGCUCUUAUAAA